Molecule: long non-coding RNA, 706 nt
Organism: Aedes aegypti (yellow fever mosquito)
Lineage: Eukaryota; Metazoa; Arthropoda; Insecta; Diptera; Culicidae
Exons: 2
Source: RefSeq, a predicted model, not a curated record
UAUUGAACUUUCAGUCUGCGGCAGCUCAGGCGUAGGAGUGCGCGCCAUUUCAAUAUUGACACCCCACGUUAACGAUACGCGUGGCGGCAGUAAUAUAAGUGGGAAAACAUCGAAUCCGACACAAGGGCGGUCCAUUGAUGAGGCACAGGCUCCAAAAAAGGGGCCACGCGUGGUCUCGUUGAGCUGGUUUUCUUGUGACCAUUCCAGGCCGAAAAAUGUGCACAAACGCAACUGCUCCAGAUGGUAAAGUACAGCUCUCGUCAAACUAGCCGAAGACAUCACUCAGCGGUGUCCAACCCGUGGAAAACUAUAGCUUCUCAACGCGCCCGGAGAGGUGUACCGUUACCGUGGUGGCGCAACGCAGCAACCAUGUGGUUUUUGCCAAUUUCGGACAUUACUCAGCGAUGAUCGAUGAUUGUAUAUGUGUUGCGAAAAUCGUGGCAGGCGGGCGGGCGGGCAGGCAGGUUGGGUUGCCGGGGCAAUUGGGUAAUUCGCCAAAAAAUGUUCGAUGGCCCACAGCGCGAAAAAUGGGAAACGUAAUCGCGCAUUGGGUGCUGCAGACGACUGACUGGGACGCGAGGAGAGUUCGUUGCCUCCUCGGGCGUUUCAAUUUCGGUGACGGGUUGGAAAGGCAUCGUUGGGCUAGGAAUGCUACCAUUGAACGAAUUUGAAAAAUAUCACGACAAAAAAUCGUAAAAAUUCUAAA